UACGGGGGGGGCAAGCGUUGUUCGGAAUUACUGGGCGUAAAGGGCUCGUAGGCGGCCAACUAAGUCAGACGUGAAAUCCCUCGGCUUAACCGGGGAACUGCGUCUGAUACUGGAUGGCUUGAAUCCGGGAGAGGGAUGCGGAAUUCCAGGUGUAGCGGUGAAAUGCGCAGAUAUCGGGAGGAACACCUAUGGCGAAGGCAGCUCGCUGGGACGUUACUGACGCUGAGACGCGAAAGCGUGGGGAGCAAACAGG
RNAcentral lists this ribosomal RNA (253 nucleotides) under uncultured bacterium. RNAcentral's name for it is "partial 16S ribosomal RNA". It matches the Rfam family "Bacterial small subunit ribosomal RNA", at positions 524 to 776 of the family's 1533-position model. The record is from RNAcentral.